GCGCACUGGACGCCCAGCGGGAGUAACAAGUUCAGGCUGGAGUCGGGGCCGGUUACAACCCAGCUACAAGUUGGUAAUGGACGUUAUCUCUUUAGGACCGUACAAAGCACAAAGUCAGGAAUUGGGCCCGUUUAAACUUUCACGGAACGCCAACAUUGUCUGCAUCAGCGUGGAAGCCGUCCAACAGAGCGUAAUUGCCAUUAGGUGCGAUUAAAAGAGGACGGGCCAGGAGUAAACCAGAAUAGGAUUGAUGCCAGAAGGGCCUAAACCGGGGAUGGAGAGCAAGAAGGGAAGAGAACAGAAGUGGAGCAUUUCAAGGACACUUCAACAUCUGGCCCUCGGGUAACAAAGGGCUUAAUAUAUAGGAGCGAUACCCCCUCAAAACCCCGCUACCAUAUUUUACUUCUGAUCGUACAGUGAAGAGAGCGGAGAAACUACCGGUAAAAAGAAACAAACGUUAAGAGGGAAAGAAUAAUAGGGCCUUUUGUCAAACGUUGCCUCCAGGACAGGAAAAAUACGAAGUAGUAUAAACCUAAAACCAAGAUUUAUUCGUGGUAAACCAUAUGUAAGUAACACAGUAAAUAAAACAUAGUCAACUCGC
Cimex lectularius (bed bug) is the source of this 601-nucleotide long non-coding RNA. RefSeq lists it as uncharacterized. The record is from RefSeq and is a predicted model, not a curated record. Lineage: Eukaryota; Metazoa; Arthropoda; Insecta; Hemiptera; Cimicidae. The transcript has 2 exons.